GAUGAAGAACGUAGCGAAAUGCGAUACUUGGUGUGAAUUGCAGAAUCCCGUGAACCAUCGAGUCUUUGAACGCAAGUUGCGCCUCAAGCCAUUAGGUUGAGGACACGUCUGCCUGGGCGUCACAUAUCGUUGCCUGAUGCCAGUUUCCUCGUGAUGGGUGACUGUGCAGGGCGAAUGAUGGCUUCCCGUGAGCAUUGUUGCCUCAUGGUUGGUUGAAAAUUGAGUCCUUGGUAGGGAGCGCCGUGAUAGAUGGUGGUUGAGUGACGAACGAGACCCAAUCAUGUGAGACCCCUACCGAAUUUGGCCUUCAUGACCCACAUGCGUCUUUGGAACGCUCAUGACGAGACCUCAGGUCAGGCGGGGCUACCCGCUGAGUUUAAGCAUAUCAAUAAGCGGAGGA
This 400-nucleotide unclassified non-coding RNA is filed under the name soil metagenome. Its description in RNAcentral is "partial contains 5.8S ribosomal RNA, internal transcribed spacer 2, and large subunit ribosomal RNA". The stretch from base 1 to 122 matches the Rfam family "5.8S ribosomal RNA", at positions 35 to 154 of the family's 154-position model. The record is from RNAcentral.